GACAGAGGUGCCGAGCGUUAGGCGGAAUCACUGGGCUUAAAGCGUGUGUAGGCGGAUCGUUAAGUACCUUGUGAAAUCCCACGGCUUAACCGUGGAACUGCUUGGUAUACUGGCGAUCUUGAGCCACCUAGGGGCAACCGGAACAAAUGGUGGAGCGGUGAAAUGCGUAGAUAUCAUUUGGAACGCCAAUGGUGAAAACAGGUUGCUGGGGGCGUGCUGACGCUGAGACACGAAAGCCAGGGGAGCGAACGGG
RNAcentral lists this ribosomal RNA (253 nucleotides) under uncultured bacterium. RNAcentral's name for it is "partial 16S ribosomal RNA". It matches the Rfam family "Bacterial small subunit ribosomal RNA", at positions 524 to 776 of the family's 1533-position model. The record is from RNAcentral.